Non-coding RNA from Odocoileus virginianus texanus, 1222 nucleotides. The record is from RefSeq and is a predicted model, not a curated record. NCBI's taxonomy places the organism in Eukaryota, Metazoa, Chordata, Mammalia, Artiodactyla, Cervidae.
UUCAUAUUCUUUUUAUUUUGGCUUAUUAUAGGGUAUUGACUAUAGUUCUCUAUACUAUACAGUAGAACUUUGUUGUUUAUCUAUUUUAUAUACAACAGUAGUUCGUACUGCUAAUAUCAGACUCCCAAUUUAUCCCUCAGUACCCUCUUUCCCCUUGAUAAUCAUGUUUUUUCUCUGUCUUGUGGGUCUCUUUCUGUUUCAUAAGUUAGUUCACUUGUAUCAUAUUCAUAAUUUUGAUUCCACAUAUAAGUGCUAUCAUAUGGUAUUUGUCUUUCCCUUUCUGUUUUAUGACCUGAGACUUGAAAUAAGUGAUACAGGUGACAAGAAAAGGACAUUUGAGGUAGGGAAAGUAACAAGCCUUCUGAGUUUUAAAAUGAACUAUGGGUUAAUGCAUUUGGCGCUCCAAGAUAAUUUACAUGUUUUCUUCCAAGGCUGUAUCUUUCCAGCAUACAUUGCCUCUUUACUCAUGCCUAAUUUUCUCUUCAGUGGUUUGGAUAAUUAUGAGUUCAGUGUUCAGGACCAUGUUCUUUUAAUUUUAUUUUUCCUGAGGGCUACAUGAAUACCAGGCUCUUCAUAGGCUACUGAAAUGAGGAAGGCUCUGACCCAAAACUCAGGGGGAUUUUGUACCGCAUAGUUGCCUUAUGGCCAAUAAGCUGUGCCAUGAAACUGCUUGCAGAAAUGUUCUUAAGGUGAAAAUGCUAAGAGCCUUCUAGCCCAGCCCUCUGAGGGUGGUUUGGGCACUCUCAUCGACUGCAGAUCUUCCAUGUCUGACUCUAGUCAUCUAAAAAAACAGAACUAGGGACUCGGUGUCAUCCUUGCUGAUCCCUGAAAUCAUCUCCUACGCAAGAAGCCCUCCUGCAAUGCAUUUUAAUUAGUAGUGUCUUCUGUCUAUGGGGUCGCACAGAGUCGGACACGACUGAAGCGACUUAGCCGCAGCAGAGAUGAGAAUGGAGGUUGCUGAGAGGACCUGGUCUUAUACGGUAAUGUAUUAAGUACCAUUACAAAAACUGUGCAGUACGCUAUGAGAGUUUGGAGAAGAAGAGAACAGGUUCCCUGCAGACUUUUUUUUUGAACACUAUCAAAUAGUAGUGGCCUCACUUGCACCUAGCACUCAUCAGUUUAUUUUCCUACCAUGUUGGGGUUCCUAGGUCCACCCUUAGGUUCUACAGUUCACCGGGAGGAUUCACAAGACUCAGCAUAAAAGUCAUAAUCAGGGCUAAAA